UCAGUCGACUCCUACGGGGAGGCAGCAGUGGGGAAUAUGCACAAUGGGGGAAGCCCUGAUGCAGCCAUGCCGCGUGUGUGAAGAAGGCCUUCGGGUUGUAAAGCACUUUCAGUAGGGAGGAAGGUAGUGUAGUUAACACCUGCACUAUUUGACGUUACCUACAGAAGAAGCACCGGCUAACUCCGUGCCAGCAGCCGCGGUAAUACGGAGGGUGCGAGCGUUAAUCGGAAUUACUGGGCGUAAAGCGCAUGCAGGCGGCCUGUUAAGUCAGAUGUGAAAGCCCGGGGCUUAACCUCGGAAUUGCAUUUGAAACUGGCAGGCUAGAGUCUUGUAGAGGGGGGUAGGAAUUUCAGGUGUAGCGGUGAAAUGCGUAGAGAUCUGAAGGAAUACCAGUGGCGAAGGCGGCCCCCUGGACAAAGACUGACGCUCAGAUGCGAAAGCGUGGGGAGCAAACAGGAUUAGAUACCCUGGUAG
RNAcentral lists this ribosomal RNA (474 nucleotides) under uncultured bacterium. RNAcentral describes it as "bacterial SSU rRNA". It matches the Rfam family "Bacterial small subunit ribosomal RNA", at positions 328 to 793 of the family's 1533-position model. The record is from RNAcentral.